This 253-nucleotide ribosomal RNA is filed under the name uncultured bacterium. RNAcentral describes it as "partial 16S ribosomal RNA". It matches the Rfam family "Bacterial small subunit ribosomal RNA", at positions 524 to 776 of the family's 1533-position model. The record is from RNAcentral.
UACGUAGGGUGCGAGCGUUGUCCGGAUUUAUUGGGCGUAAAGAGCUCGUAGGCGGUUUGUCGCGUCGGCCGUGAAAUCUCCACGCUUAACGUGGAGCGUGCGGUCGAUACGGGCAGGCUAGAGUUCGGCAGGGGAGACUGGAAUUCCUGGUGUAGCGGUGAAAUGCGCAGAUAUCAGGAGGAACACCGGUGGCGAAGGCGGGUCUCUGGGCCGAUACUGACACUGAGGAGCGAAAGCGUGGGGAGCGAACAGG